Sus scrofa (pig) is the source of this 516-nucleotide long non-coding RNA. RefSeq lists it as uncharacterized. The record is from RefSeq and is a predicted model, not a curated record. NCBI's taxonomy places the organism in Eukaryota, Metazoa, Chordata, Mammalia, Artiodactyla, Suidae.
CCCGACCGGUGCCCAUCCUUCCCAGGCUGGUAUUUAAACAAACAGGGACGGCAGUGGGGAAUGCCGGGAGUCGGAGUGAAGGCACGGAGAGGAGCGAGGAAGCAGCUGGAGUGGCCCAUUCUCAGCCAAGCUCCCGCCCCAUCUGAGUGGUUACCAAGCCUCCUGGGAGAGUCCCCUGUGCUUUCGGACACUGGGGCAAGAGCUCGCUCAGGUCUCCCACUCACAGCCCCUGAUAACCUCUCGUCCACUUCACGUUGCUAUGAUCUGACCACUCGAAGAACCUCAUGUCACUGGAAUGAUACAGUAUUUGUCUUUUGGGGGCUGCCUCUUCCACUUAGUGGAAGGAUUUCAAGGUUCAUCCAUGUUUUGACAUGUAUCAGAACUGCAUUCUUUUUCAUGGCUUUGCAUGUGCGAUUUAUUUUUGUAGUUAAAAAAUAGAUACUAGGCGUUCCCGUCGAGGUGCAGCCGAAAUGAAUCCAACUAGGAACCAUGAGGUUGUGGGUUCGAUCCCUGGCC